GCGAGAGUAGUUCAGCGGUAGAACACCACCUUGCCAAGGUGGGGGUCGCGGGUUCGAAUCCCGUCUCUCGCU
Molecule: transfer RNA, 72 nt
Filed under: Salimicrobium flavidum
Lineage: Bacteria; Bacillati; Bacillota; Bacilli; Caryophanales; Bacillaceae
Also listed under: 1 other name
Description: tRNA_Gly_GCC
Rfam family: tRNA
About the family: Transfer RNA (tRNA) molecules are approximately 80 nucleotides in length. Their secondary structure includes four short double-helical elements and three loops (D, anti-codon, and T loops). Further hydrogen bonds mediate the characteristic L-shaped molecular structure. tRNAs have two regions of fundamental functional importance: the anti-codon, which is responsible for specific mRNA codon recognition, and the 3' end, to which the tRNAs corresponding amino acid is attached (by aminoacyl-tRNA synthetases). tRNAs cope with the degeneracy of the genetic code in two manners: having more than one tRNA (with a specific anti-codon) for a particular amino acid; and 'wobble' base-pairing, i.e. permitting non-standard base-pairing at the 3rd anti-codon position.
Source: RNAcentral